Molecule: long non-coding RNA, 408 nt
Filed under: Macaca nemestrina (pig-tailed macaque)
Lineage: Eukaryota; Metazoa; Chordata; Mammalia; Primates; Cercopithecidae
Description: lncRNA (ENSMNEG00000045644.1)
Source: RNAcentral
UGAAAAUGUUCACCAGGUUUGAAUUGUCUUAGGAACUUGAAGAAAGAGAACCCUCAUUUUUAUGAGAUCUAAUCUAUUUAUUUGGGGUGCAUCUGAAUGAAUGAGCAUCUUAUUUAACUGGGCAAUCCUGUGUGUUCCAGCUGCAGAUGAAGAGAUUGCUUCGCUUCAAACCUCCUGACUGCCAUGGAACCAUCUGGCACAUGCACGUGUGUGGGGAGGUGAGACACCAGCUAACACUAAAGUCUUCAGCUGGUAGAAUAGAAGUGGAGAGUGGGGCAAAGUACUUCACCCUAGUGUGAUUCAGAAUCUUCUUGGGCUCAAGAGAAUGCCACUGCCUCUACCUCCAAUCCUCAACAUCUUGCCGGAGAUUUUGAUUAAUCUUUCUACAGCUUACAAUAGGUAUGUCCU